UACAGAGACCUCAAGCGUUAUCCGGAAUUAUUGGGCGUAAAGAGCUCGUAGGUGGUUUGUUACGUCUGCUGUGAAAACCUAGGGCUUAACCCUGGGCUUGCAGUGGAUACGGGCAGACUAGAGGUAGGUAGGGGAGAAUGGAAUUCCUGGUGUAGCGGUGAAAUGCGCAGAUAUCAGGAGGAACACCGGUGGCGAAGGCGGUUCUCUGGGCCUUACCUGACACUGAGGAGCGAAAGCGUGGGGAGCGAACAGG
Molecule: ribosomal RNA, 253 nt
Filed under: uncultured bacterium
Lineage: Bacteria
Description: partial 16S ribosomal RNA
Rfam family: Bacterial small subunit ribosomal RNA
Source: RNAcentral